CCAUGAUUGGGAUAAUUCUUUGUUCCUAGCCUUGUACCAUCUUGGUCCAUUCCAGUCCUGCUCCUGCUUUUCCUUACUCUAGGUGUAUAAAACUACUAUGUCUCACAAUCCCCAUUGCUUCACAAGCCUUUAAGAGCAUGCAGCAUGAGAGGUGGGAGGGAAGAAAAGAACGGUGAUGAUGCUUCAGGGACUGUGGAGAAAGUAAACAAAAUGGUGACAAAAAGAGGCAUACUGGAGUCUGGGUGGCAGGGAGAGGAGAGCUGAGGAAGAAGACUGAUGGCUAUACUGAGCCCUAAUUAAAAGUUAAAGGCAGUAAAUGAGAAGAGGGAGUUCCUUACAAAGUGAAGCUGAUCUGUAAUAUCCACUCCAGAAAGUAAAUUUCAAUUGCACUGAGAGAUCAAAAGAAAUAUCACAGAAUAUAAUCUGAAAAUUUACCAUAAUAUAUCCUUACAAUGCUAAAACAUUAUAUUUCCAUAGGUAGUAAGCAACAGCAGGCAUAAACAAAUGCAAAUUGUGUUCCAUACUGUCAAAAUUAUUCCAGAACAGCAAAUUUAGACAUAUGUGAUUUUAAUUAGUUUGUGUACCAUAUGUUAAAAUAUUUGACACAUUCUCAGGAAUGUCUGCAUUUUGAAGUUACAAAGAAUUAUUAUUUUUUCUAUAAAGUAGGAAUUCCAAUCUAACACACCAACAGAAAUGAAGAUCCAAAUAUAGGUGAAGUUAUUUUCUACCAAAGUGAACCAUGGAACAAUGUGAAAUGACUAUUCACACAGUAAAGCUAAAAAUUGUUAAAUAGAUAGCCCAGGUUAAAGGACAGUGCUCCAAGGAAAAUAUUUUGAAGCAUGGCAGGGCUCAAUCUUUGGUUCCAACAUGUGACUCAGGACCAUCAUGCACACAGUGUCUGCUACUGUAUGCUGAGAGAUGGAAUUGUGGAUAUGGUUUACUGCUCCCUUCUAGCAUGUGGUUUAAACCUUGUGGAUUCAGUGUGUGAUCCACUAGUAAUGCUCUCCAAAUAUUCAUGCUUUUGCUCCAAGUGAAAAGGCAUCAUGAAAACUUACUCCACAGUCCUGGAAGAGGGGCAGGGCUCCUGAGUCACUCUGGGUGGCAGUGAUGUACAUUUCCACUGUAUUUAAGCCUUGCAUGAGUGUGGAUGCCUAUUUAGGAUUAGAUCCAUUGGUUGUAUUGCAGGGGUAAGUCAGAGAACUAUGGUUGUAUUUUAUAAUAGAAAAAUUCCCAAGAAAAGGUAAGCUAGGAUCAGUUUAAAGUAUUUCUCAGCUAUUUGAUUCCUAAUGAGAAAACUGAUUGAAGUGGUGCUAUUAACUUCAUAGUUCUGUUUGUAGCUUGUGCUUUUAACAUGACAAUUACCAUGUUUAAUGCUCUGUUGAGUAUUUUUGUUGCUAUUUGUUUUCUUUUGUAUUCAUUAAAUAUUAGUUUAAAAAA
Long non-coding RNA from Dermochelys coriacea (leatherback sea turtle), 1437 nucleotides. RefSeq lists it as uncharacterized. The record is from RefSeq and is a predicted model, not a curated record. The transcript has 5 exons. NCBI's taxonomy places the organism in Eukaryota, Metazoa, Chordata, Testudines, Dermochelyidae.